GAAGAGAAGAGGAUGUGCACCUCCAGCUCCUCCCUGAACCCCAGCAGCGUUAACCCUGCGUUGGGACACGUUCGUGGCUUCAACCGGGAACUGCGCAUCAGGACACAGACUUCUGAUCCCAGGAUCCAGGAGAUCCAGUCUAGUCUGGACAAGUAAGGAACAUCCAUGGGGCCAGCCCCCAGCGUCACCCACUGUCCCCAUAAUCCCUCCUGGACUUGUGACACCAAAACGGAAGUGUUGGGGGAUACUGGGACUGGGACAGCCCCUGGCAGGGGAGGAGUUUGGGAUGCGGGGAGCGCUUCCCAGGUCCUGCCCCUCAGUGACCACCGGAGUGCCUCGGCCGUGGGGUGAACCGGGUCCCGGAGGGUCCCUGCACAGCUCUACAAAUGGGAAUCCAGGGCGGGACACCGACGUCCCCCGCCCUCCGCAGCAUUUUUCCGCGGGAAGCUCCGGUUUUAAAGCACCGGGAGAGGCGGGCGGGACCCCUGGCGAGUCCCCCCCGCACCGUGGCCACAAGCGCAGCGAGUUUCCCAGUCCUCAUCCUCCUCCCCAGGCUGGCCGGGGCCGGGGGUUGAGUGCGUGUGCUCCCCAAAAUCCUUCUCCCUCCUUUCAGUUUCGAUUUUAUCCCGCCUUUUUUUUUUUUCCCUGCUUUUCCCUAUUUGCGCCGGGGCAGCCCCAUCACGUGAGGCCGGGCCCGGCUGGACGCGGCUGCGGGGCCGCGCCGGUGGCGGCGGGGCCGGACACGCAUCCCCGGGCCCGACCUUUGCCCCACAUCCCUUCCCCAAAUUGGGGGCUGGAUUGGGGACAGGGGGGUCGGUUUGCAGGAGGUGGCGCUCGCUCGCUCUCGCUGCCCCCGGAUUUUUUUUCCCUGCGGUUGCUCGGGAAGGUGGAGCCUGGGACCACCCCCGCGGGCAGGUGCCGGAUGGCGGCGGGGACCCUCUGCCCUUCCGACUCCUUGCAGGAAUUCCCGUACGCCCCCCAAAACAGCCCCCCGGCCGGGGGGGUGCCCCCGGCCACCGACCUGGUGCUGGGGGCCACGGCCGGGUGCUUGGCCUGCUUCCUCACCAACCCGCUGGAGGUGGUAAAGACGCGGCUGCAGCUGCAGGGCGAGCUGCAGCCCCCGGGCUCGUACCCCCGGCCGUACCGCGGGGUGCUGCGGGCGGCCGUGGCCGUGUGCCGGGCGGACGGGCUGCGGGGGCUGCAGAAGGGGCUGGCGGCCGGGCUGCUCUACCAGGGGCUCAUGAACGGCGUCCGCUUCUACUGCUAUUCGCACGCCGAGGACGCCGGCUGGACCGGGUAUCCCGGCGGGACCGUGGCCGCCGGGGCCGUGGCCGGGGCGGUGGGAGCCAUCGUGGGCAGCCCCGCGUACCUGGUCAAGACCCACCUCCAAGCCCAGACCGUGUCGGCCAUGGCCGUGGGCCACCAGCACAACCAUGAGAGCAUCUCCGGUGCUUUCAAGAGCAUCUACCAGCAGCACGGGGUGGUGGGUCUGUGGCGGGGGGUGACGGGGGCCGUGCCCCGCGUGGCCGUGGGCUCGGCCGUGCAGCUCGCCACCUUCGCCUCCGCCAAGGACUGGGUUUGUGAGCGCCAGUGGUUCAGGAAGGGCAGCUGGGCGGCCGUGCUGGCGGGGGGCAUGGUGAGCGGUGUGGCUGUGGCGGUGACAAUGACACCUUUUGACGUGAUCAGCACCCGUCUCUACAACCAGCCGGUGGACGCCGAUGGCACGGGCAAGCUCUACCGAGGUUUUUUGGAUUGUAUUCUGCAAAUCUCCAGCAAAGAGGGGCUGCUGGGCUUGUACAAGGGCAUCGGCGCCGUCUACCUCCGCCUCGGCCCCCACACCGUCCUCAGCCUCUUCUUCUGGGACAAGCUCAGGAACAUGGUUCAGCACUAGCAGCCCCCAGGGCUGCAGGACAGACUUCUGCCACCACCAACACCGAUGUUAAUAAAGAGUUGAAGCUCAUCUCUGGCCGGGCCUUUAGCUGCCCUGGAUUGGCCCAAUAAUGAUUUACCAGCCGGGGCGGGGGUGGAGGGGCGCUCCC
RNA transcript from Parus major (Great Tit), 2039 nucleotides. It is a transcript of the gene named solute carrier family 25 member 34, with no coding region annotated. Lineage: Eukaryota; Metazoa; Chordata; Aves; Passeriformes; Paridae. The record is from RefSeq and is a predicted model, not a curated record. The transcript is spliced from 6 exons.